RNAcentral lists this unclassified non-coding RNA (225 nucleotides) under plant metagenome. RNAcentral describes it as "partial contains small subunit ribosomal RNA, internal transcribed spacer 1, and 5.8S ribosomal RNA". The record is from RNAcentral.
UCUCCGUUGGUGAAACAGCGGAGGGAUCAUUACAGGACUCGCAAGACUCCUACAACCCUGUGAACUUAACUAUAAGCACGUUGCUUCGGCGGGUGUCUCGGAGGGGGUUCUCCCUCCCCGAGACGCUAAACCCGCCGGCAGCCUACUAUACUCUGUCUCUUUGCGUUGGCAUCUCGAGUACAAUCAAACAAGUUAAAACUUUCAACAACGGAUCUCUUGGUUCUG